This 305-nucleotide long non-coding RNA is filed under the name Fukomys damarensis (Damara mole-rat). RNAcentral describes it as "lncRNA (ENSFDAG00000022768.1)". The record is from RNAcentral. Lineage: Eukaryota; Metazoa; Chordata; Mammalia; Rodentia; Bathyergidae.
CGGGCGGGGUCCUCUGUGGCGCAGGGCUGGAGGGGGAGCGUUGGGAGGGGCGUUGCCGGGGGUUUCCAGGGAAACACUGCAGCAGAUGGCUGGCUUUUCUGAGCCACGGCGACACAUCUGCAACGCUGCUGGUGGGAAGGAUAUUUUUGGAAGAUCUGCUCUCUCAGUCUUUUGGAAGAACAGGCUUGCUCACAGUGCUCCAACAGGACCAUUGUGUCACAUCAAGGCUGCUUUCAGGAACACACAGCCAAAGACAGAGUCAAUGAUAGAUGCCUCAUUCCUGUAUUUGAUAUCCUGAGCCGCAC